Molecule: ribosomal RNA, 208 nt
Filed under: uncultured bacterium
Lineage: Bacteria
Description: partial 16S ribosomal RNA
Rfam family: Bacterial small subunit ribosomal RNA
Source: RNAcentral
UUCGGAUUGCAGGCUGCAACUCGCCUGCAUGAAGCUGGAAUUGCUAGUAAUCGCGGAUCAGCAAGCCGCGGUGAAUACGUUCCCGGGCCUUGUACACACCGCCCGUCACACCAUGAGAGUCGGGAACACCCGAAGUCCGUAGUCUAACCGCAAGGGGGCGCGGCCGAAGGUGGGUCCGGUAAUUGGGGUGAAGUCGUAACAAGGUAUC